This 254-nucleotide ribosomal RNA is filed under the name uncultured bacterium. RNAcentral describes it as "partial 16S ribosomal RNA". It matches the Rfam family "Bacterial small subunit ribosomal RNA", at positions 524 to 776 of the family's 1533-position model. The record is from RNAcentral.
CACGUAGGGGGCGAGCGUUGUCCGGAAUCAUUGGGCGUAAAGAGCUCGUAGGCGGCUCAGUAAGUCGGGUGUGAAACCCCCAGGCUCAACCUGGGGACGCCACCCGAUACUGCUGUGGCUAGAGUCCAGUAGGGGAGUGUGGAAUUCCCGGUGUAGCGGUGAAAUGCGCAGAUAUCGGGAGGAACACCGAUGGCGAAGGCAGAUCUCUGGUCGGAUCCUGACGCUGAGGUGCGAAAGCUAGGGGAGCAAACGGG